UCCUCGGGGAAUUCUGGCUCCGGCACGGGAUUUCUAAUCCCAGGGUCGCAGGUUCGAGUCCUGCUCGGGGUA
RNAcentral lists this transfer RNA (72 nucleotides) under Planctomycetota bacterium. RNAcentral describes it as "Planctomycetes bacterium (freshwater metagenome) tRNA-Arg". Lineage: Bacteria; Pseudomonadati; Planctomycetota. The record is from RNAcentral.